GUUUGUGUACUGUUUCUAUUCCUUAUUCAGGUUCUAAACCAGUUUGCCACCAAAGUCUUUCUGCUGGCUUUAGUAGGCUUAGAACCAAACCCUUACCAAGUGCCUGUAUCUGUCCUUGUUAAUGACUGCCUGAUCGUUGAGGUGCAGUUUAGGAAGGCUCUCUCUGCUGAAGUAGUGACAACUGCCUUCUCAAUUCUCACCCUGGCUAACCCAGCCAGUCAGAGUUUGUGUUGCCAUCAUCACCAUUGUUGGCUCCAGCCUAUAUGCGUUCCAAGACUGAAGUGUAUGGCUGUUGAGGCAGGAUUUGCUUACUGCUGUGUCGUGGAAUCUGCCCUAUUUCUAGAACAUGAGCUCUUCAUCUCCUGUCUGCUGGCUAAGAAAGUUGUAAUAUCCGAAGUCCUGUUUAUUUUUUGCCCUUGUUGUUUAAAGGAUUUAAAAAAAUACUGAAGGAGUUGCAGAGUAUCUGUAUAAAACCAACUGAAGCAUAAUUCUUUUGCAGAGUACGUUACCUCAUUUGAUGAUGGAGGGUCAUUGUCUCGGUGCACAGUAUAGCACCAUUGUAGAGAACUUAGCUGGAUAAAUACUAGAAAACUUCUGUGAAAUGCUUCACAUAGUUAAACUAUGUUGAAAGCUCUUGGUGCUGUCUUUUUGUUCCAGUGACUUUGUUGUACCUGCCUUUCUAUUUUUUUUUAAUUGAGGUGUAUUUUCAGGCAGCUGUCCAAAUUAAACUUAAGACACCAGUUUCUGAGUUCAUACCUUGUAAAGUUUCAUGCUGGACAAUGUGGGGUUUUUUGGUUGCUUUUUUUAACAGUAGCUUUUCAAAUGGCUUUAACCCAAGGCAAAAAAAAAAAAAAAACCUCACUGAAAACAAUGGGAAUUCUGCCUUGACAUCACUGAUAGUAUUUCAUGCUAGAAGUUGAGGGGAGAUAUUUUGUGGUAUUUUUCUAACUAACAUUUUCUUGUACAUAAAAGCUUACUAAAACUCUCAAAAGAGGCUAGAACUAUUCAGUUCUGUUUCCCUUUAAUCAGAAGGGAUUUAUUGUAUAUUAAUUUGUUACUGUGAAAUAAAGGUUUUGGAAUACAGUGUGAUGAGCUGUAC
This 1099-nucleotide long non-coding RNA is filed under the name Chrysolophus pictus (golden pheasant). RNAcentral's name for it is "lncRNA (ENSCPIG00010014752.1)". The record is from RNAcentral. Lineage: Eukaryota; Metazoa; Chordata; Aves; Galliformes; Phasianidae.